UACCAGCACCCCGAGUGGUCGGGACGUUUAUUGGGCCGAAAGCAUCCGUAGCCGGUUCUACAAGUCUUCCGUUAAAUCCAGCUGCUUAACAGAUGGGCUGCGGAAGAUACUAUGGAGCUAGGAGGCGGGAGAGGCAAGCGGUACUCGAUGGGUAGGGGUAAAAUCCGUUGAUCCAUUGAAGACCACCAGUGGCGAAGGCGGCUUGCCAGAACGCGCUCGACGGUGAGGGAUGAAAGCUGGGGGAGCAAACCGG
Molecule: ribosomal RNA, 253 nt
Filed under: uncultured bacterium
Lineage: Bacteria
Description: partial 16S ribosomal RNA
Rfam family: Archaeal small subunit ribosomal RNA
Source: RNAcentral